RNAcentral lists this ribosomal RNA (552 nucleotides) under uncultured bacterium. RNAcentral's name for it is "partial 16S ribosomal RNA". It matches the Rfam family "Bacterial small subunit ribosomal RNA", at positions 355 to 895 of the family's 1533-position model. The record is from RNAcentral.
UGGGGAAUAUUGCACAAUGGGCGCAAGCCUGAUGCAGCCAUGCCGCGUGUGUGAAGAAGGCCUUCGGGUUGUAAAGCACUUUCAGCGAGGAGGAAGGUGGUGAGCUUAAUACGCUCAUCAAUUGACGUUACUCGCAGAAGAAGCACCGGCUAACUCCGUGCCAGCAGCCGCGGUAAUACGGAGGGUGCAAGCGUUAAUCGGAAUUACUGGGCGUAAAGCGCACGCAGGCGGUUUGUUAAGUCAGAUGUGAAAAUCCCCGGGCUCAACCUGGGAACUGCAUUUGAAACUGGCAAGCUAGAGUCUCGUAGAGGGGGGUAGAAUUCCAGGUGUAGCGGUGAAAUGCGUAGAGAUCUGGAGGAAUACCGGUGGCGAAGGCGGCCCCCUGGACGAAGACUGACGCUCAGGUGCGAAAGCGUGGGGAGCAAAACAGGAUUAGAUACCCUGGUAGUCCACGCUGUAAAACGAUGUCGAUUUUGGAGGUUGUGCCCUUGAGGCGUGGCUUCCGGAGCUAACGCGUUAAAUCGACCGCCUGGGGAGUACGGCCGCAAGGUU